RNAcentral lists this ribosomal RNA (467 nucleotides) under uncultured bacterium. RNAcentral describes it as "partial 16S ribosomal RNA". It matches the Rfam family "Bacterial small subunit ribosomal RNA", at positions 28 to 507 of the family's 1533-position model. The record is from RNAcentral.
GACGAACGCUGGCGGCGUGCUUAACACAUGCAAGUCGAACGGAAAGGCCUCAUCUUGCUGGGGUACUCGAGUGGCGAACGGGUGAGUAACACGUGGGUGAUCUGCCUUGCACUCUGGGAUAAGCUUGGGAAACUGGGUCUAAUACCGGAUAUGAACUGCCUUUAGUGUGGUGGUUGGAAAGUUUUUUCGGUGCAAGAUGAGCUCGCGGCCUAUCAGCUUGUUGGUGGGGUAAUGGCCUACCAAGGCGUCGACGGGUAGCCGGCCUGAGAGGGUGUACGGCCACAUUGGGACUGAGAUACGACCCAGACUCCUACGGGAGGCAGCAGUGGGGAAUAUUGCACAAGGGGCGGAAGCCUGAUGCAGCGACGCCGCGUGGGGGAUGACGGCCUUCGGGUUGUAAACUCCUUUCGACAGGGACGAAGCUUUUUGUGACGGUACCUGUAGAAGAAGCACCGGCUAACUACGUG